CGUGAGUGAGAGCUUCGGGUGUAAAGCUCUUUCAGUUGAGAGAAAAGAUUGUGACUAAUAAUUGCAAUUCAUGACGGUAUCAACAGAAGAAGCACCGGCUAACUACGUGCCAGCAGCCGCGGUAAUACGUAGGGUGCGAGCGUUAAUCGGAAUUACUGGGCGUAAAGGGUGCGCAGGCGGUUCUGUAAGUCAGAUGUGAAAUCCCCGGGCUUAACCUGGGAACUGCGUUUGAAACUACAGAGCUAGAGUGUGGCAGAGGGGGGUGGAAUUCCAUGUGUAGCAGUGAAAUGCGUAGAGAUAUGGAAGAACAUCGAUGGCGAAGGCAGCCCCCUGGGUCAACACUGACGCUCAUGCACGAAAGCGUGGGGAGCAAACAGGAUUAGAUACCCUGGUAGUCCACGCCCUAAACUAUGUCAACUAGUUGUCGGGCCUUAUUAGGUUUUGGUAACGUAGCUAACGCGUGAAGUUGACCGCCUGGGGAGUACGGUCGCAAGAUUAAAACUCAAAGGAAUUGACGGGG
RNAcentral lists this ribosomal RNA (520 nucleotides) under uncultured bacterium. Its description in RNAcentral is "bacterial SSU rRNA". It matches the Rfam family "Bacterial small subunit ribosomal RNA", at positions 400 to 918 of the family's 1533-position model. The record is from RNAcentral.